This 72-nucleotide transfer RNA is filed under the name Bos taurus (domestic cattle). It matches the Rfam family "tRNA". From Rfam's summary of the family: Transfer RNA (tRNA) molecules are approximately 80 nucleotides in length. Lineage: Eukaryota; Metazoa; Chordata; Mammalia; Artiodactyla; Bovidae. The record is from Rfam by way of RNAcentral. RNAcentral also lists the same sequence under 2 other names.
UCCCUGGUGGCUCAGACGGUAAAGCGUCUGCCUGCAGUGCAGGAGACCCGGGUUCGAUCCCUGGGCUGGUAG